RNAcentral lists this unclassified non-coding RNA (342 nucleotides) under Bartonella henselae. RNAcentral describes it as "partial 16S-23S ribosomal RNA intergenic spacer". The stretch from base 1 to 56 matches the Rfam family "tRNA", at positions 18 to 71 of the family's 71-position model. Lineage: Bacteria; Pseudomonadati; Pseudomonadota; Alphaproteobacteria; Hyphomicrobiales; Bartonellaceae. The record is from RNAcentral.
GUUAGAGCGCGCGCUUGAUAAGCGUGAGGUCGGAGGUUCAAGUCCUCCCAGGCCCACCAGUUUAUCCAUUACUUUCAUAAGUGCUUUUAAAAAAUAAGUACUUCUAAAAAGAUUGCUUCUAAAAAGCUUAUCAAAAUUGGCAGGCUUAUUGCUUUUGUGUGAGUAAUCCAAAGUUAAAGCAAAUUAAUGGCAAAAAAACAGUUCAAAUGCUAAAUACUAAGGAGUCAAAAUUCCUUGGCAAAGUGAUUUUUACAGCGUCCAUUUGGUUGAUAUAAAUUCCAAAUGCUCAUAGACGUCAAUGCCCUUAUUAAAACUAUCGGUUCAAUCAUAUCGCUUUGAGUU